RNAcentral lists this ribosomal RNA (408 nucleotides) under uncultured cyanobacterium. RNAcentral's name for it is "bacterial SSU rRNA". It matches the Rfam family "Bacterial small subunit ribosomal RNA", at positions 365 to 788 of the family's 1533-position model. The record is from RNAcentral. Lineage: Bacteria; Bacillati; Cyanobacteriota.
UCCGCAAUGGGCGCAAGCCUGACGGAGCAAGACCGCGUGAGGGAGGACGGUCUGUGGAUUGUAAACCGCUUUUGUCAGGGAAGAAGAUCUGACGGUACCUGAGGAAUCAGCAUCGGCUAACUCCGUGCCAGCAGCCGCGGUAAUACGGAGGAUGCAAGCGUUAUCCGGAAUUAUUGGGCGUAAAGCGUCCGCAGGUGGCUAGUCAAGUCUGCUGUCAAAGGUCGGAGCUCAACUCCGUAAAGGCAGUGGAAACUGCAUAGCUAGAGUGCGGUAGGGGUAGAGGGAAUUCCCAGUGUAGCGGUGAAAUGCGUAGAGAUCGGGAAGAACACCAGUGGCGAAAGCGCUCUGCUGGGCCUGCACUGACACUGAGGGACGAAAGCUAGGGGAGCGAAUGGGAUUAGAUACCCC